CUUACCCACUUGGACCAACUGUGGCUUCUCAGAAUAGCCAGAACCCACAGAGGCCCUAGUUACUCUCUGUUUGGCAAUAGUUCCAAGAAUUUCUGAGUUUGUCCUCCACUGAUUCUUCCCAGAGUCCUGUCUGCUGGAGAGAAGAAGGAAUGGUGGCCAAGCAAGGGCUUAUCGAGUGCCUCCUGCAUGCUCAAACUCCUUGUGAGUGCCUCCUGCGUGCUCAAACUCCUUGUGAGUGCCUCCUGCGUGCUCAAACUCCUUGCUGAGUGCUCUCCUUGCAUCUUACCUAGCCCUCCAUACUCACACAUGGUGGAUCAUGAGUGGUGCAGACCAGCCUCUUACAGGAAACGGUCAUGUGACCUAGAGAGAUAGACUGUGUUCACCGCCAGAAGCCCAGGCUACCAUGAAAUCGAGACUUUGAGACACAUGAACUGAAAUGAAGUGAGUCAACGCUUUGGUCACAAGAAGAAACACAAGAAGCAGCCCAAAUCCCUUGAUGAUUCCUGAAAUUGUAGCUUUUCUUUGGAGGCUGUUGUAAUUUUCAUGUCUGUUCUUAUUAAAAAUAAUAAGAGACACAUCGGUAAUGCAACUUUGCUAAAGGUGGAUGAAUCCCCGAGGGAGAAAAUGAAUGCUUCAGCGAAGCCUAAAGAACAUUAUUUCCUGUGUCUAAGUCCUCCCAGCCUCUUGCAGUGCAAGGCCUGAAGGGUGCCUCCUCGUUUAUUCUUUGUUAGUAACAUGAAAUAUCAAACCACUUCUAUUCCUUUUCAUCUUUUCAUUUUAACACUGAAUAAGGUCCCUCAGACUUUCACAGCUUCCACUGUCAAGAAUGCCACAUUGUCCAAGAUGGCCACUAGAGCUCUGUUUGUGUCUGAGACAGGAUUCCAGACUACUGGAAAAGUCCCAUUACUAACUUCUUUCAUCUUACUGUCCAUUUCUAUUUGAUACAAGAUGUAAUAUAAUUUGUAUAACACAGUGUAACAAUUCUUUUAAAUUUGGCCUAUUGCUCAAAACUUUUUUGGUUGGUAAUAAAGAAAGACAAGA
This is a long non-coding RNA of Mesocricetus auratus (golden hamster), 1041 nucleotides long. RefSeq lists it as uncharacterized. The transcript is spliced from 4 exons. The record is from RefSeq and is a predicted model, not a curated record. Lineage: Eukaryota; Metazoa; Chordata; Mammalia; Rodentia; Cricetidae.